CCUACGGGAGGCAGCAGUGGGGAAUAUUGCACAAUGGGCGAAACCCUGAUGCAGCCACGCCGCGUGAGCGAUGAAGUCUUUCGGUAUGUAAAGCUCUAUCAGCAGGGAAGAAAGUGACGGUACCUGACUCAAAAGCACCGGCUAACUCCGGGCCAGCAACCGCGGUAAUACGUAGGGGGCGAGCGUUAACCGGAUUUACUGGGUGUAAAGGGAGCGUAGACGGCGGUGCAAGCCAGAUGUGAAAGCCCGGGGCUCAACCCCGGGACUGCAUUUGGAACUGGAUAGCUGGAGUGUCGGAGAGGCAGGUGGAAUUCCUGGUGUAGCGGUGAAAUGCGUAGAGAUUAGGAGGAACACCAGUGGCGAAGGCGGCCUGCUGGACGAGGACUGACGGUGAGGCUCGAAAGCGUGGGGAGCAAACAGGAUUAGAUACCCGGGUAGUC
Molecule: ribosomal RNA, 440 nt
Filed under: uncultured bacterium
Lineage: Bacteria
Description: partial 16S ribosomal RNA
Rfam family: Bacterial small subunit ribosomal RNA
Source: RNAcentral